This is a transfer RNA of Trichoderma harzianum, 107 nucleotides long. It matches the Rfam family "tRNA". Rfam says of the family: Transfer RNA (tRNA) molecules are approximately 80 nucleotides in length. Their secondary structure includes four short double-helical elements and three loops (D, anti-codon, and T loops). The record is from Rfam. Lineage: Eukaryota; Fungi; Ascomycota; Sordariomycetes; Hypocreales; Hypocreaceae.
GCUUCCGUAGCUCAGUUGGUUAGAGCUUCGUACUAAUACUUUCAAGUCUUCAUGACUCAAAAGUCUUGGUAAUGCGAAGGUCGCAGGUUCAAGCCCUGCCGGGAGCA